GAUUUCUGGUUUAAUGCACCUGGCCCGCGGCCACUAGGCUUGUGAGUGCCGGCGCGCGUUUACCAUCCUUCUAGAAAACGUUUCUGCCAUCUAGAUCUUUUACUUUGAAAAAAUUAGAGUGUUUAAAGCAGGUUUGCUAUGAAUACAUUAGCAUGGAAUAAUAAUCUAGGACUUCGGUUCUAUUUUGUUGGUUUCUAUAACUGAAGUAAUGAUUGAUACGGCCAGAGGUGAAAUUCUUGGAUUCGGUCAAGACUAACUUAUGCGAAAGCAUU
RNAcentral lists this ribosomal RNA (272 nucleotides) under uncultured Cercomonas. RNAcentral's name for it is "partial 18S ribosomal RNA". The stretch from base 79 to 272 matches the Rfam family "Eukaryotic small subunit ribosomal RNA", at positions 731 to 955 of the family's 1831-position model. The record is from RNAcentral. Lineage: Eukaryota; Cercozoa; Cercomonadida; Cercomonadidae.